AUACAAUGCAAUAUUUGAAUAUUUUUUCAUCUCCUUUACAUUAAAUGAAGAACUGUAAGUCAGUGGUCACUCCAGACCUGAAGCUGGAUGAGUUGGUGGAGCCCUCUGCAUGAUGCCUUGAGCAGCUGCUUUGAAGAACCACAGGGCACUGAGAAGCUGAGCGCUAGAUCCCAGUGGCCCUUUGUCAGUUCUCUGGCCAUGAGCUCCAUGAGUCACAGAGAAGCCAACAGUAACUCCAGUGGUGUUUCUGGGCAGUCCUGUCCCUGUGUAUUUCAUAGACUGUAUGCUUGCUGUAUGUAUCUACUGCAAUACCACGUGGCCCUCUUUACAUUGUAA
RNAcentral lists this long non-coding RNA (336 nucleotides) under Geospiza fortis (medium ground-finch). Its description in RNAcentral is "lncRNA (ENSGFOG00000005078.1)". The record is from RNAcentral. Lineage: Eukaryota; Metazoa; Chordata; Aves; Passeriformes; Thraupidae.